UAAUACGGAGGAUCCAAGCGUUAUCCGGAUUUAUUGGGUUUAAAGGGUGCGUAGGCGGAUUAGUAAGUUAGUGGUGAAAGACUGUGGCUCAACCAUAGAACUGCCAUUAAUACUGCUAGUCCUGAGUACAUUUGAAGUGGGCGGAAUACGACAUGUAGCGGUGAAAUGCAUAGAUAUGUCGUGGAACACCGAUUGCGAAGGCAGCUCACUAAGCUAUCACUGACGCUGAGGCACGAAAGCGUGGGGAGCGAACAGGAUUAGAUACCCUGGUAGUCCACGCCGUAAACGAUGAUCACUCGUUGUUGGCAAUACAUCGUCAGCGACUGAGCGAAAGCAUUAAGUGAUCCACCUGGGGAGUACGAUCGCAAGAUUG
Molecule: ribosomal RNA, 373 nt
Filed under: uncultured Bacteroidota bacterium
Lineage: Bacteria; Pseudomonadati; Bacteroidota
Description: bacterial SSU rRNA
Rfam family: Bacterial small subunit ribosomal RNA
Source: RNAcentral